GCAGGGUACACCCUGGACAGGACGCCAGUCUGUCGCAAGGCCACAUAUAUACAAACAAACACAUUCACAUCCACACACACAACUACAGACAGUUUAAAAUUUCCAGUCCUCCUAAAGUGCGUGUCUUUGAAUGUGAGUGGAAACCAGAGAACCCGGAGACAACCCACACAAAACGGGGAGAACAU
Long non-coding RNA from Thalassophryne amazonica, 185 nucleotides. RefSeq lists it as uncharacterized. Lineage: Eukaryota; Metazoa; Chordata; Actinopteri; Batrachoidiformes; Batrachoididae. The transcript is spliced from 2 exons. The record is from RefSeq and is a predicted model, not a curated record.